AGACGGAGGGCGCAAGCGUUGUUCGGAAUUACUGGGCGUAAAGGGCAGGUAGGUGGUCUGUUAAGUCUUCUGUGAAAAUCCGGGGCUCAACCCCGCGAAAUGCAGGUGAAACUGGCAGACUUGAGACCGGUAGAGGCUAGCGGAAUUCCUGGUGUAGCGGUGGAAUGCGUAGAUAUCAGGAAGAACACCUGUGGCGAAGGCGGCUAGCUGGGCCGGUUCUGACACUGAACUGCGAAAGCGUGGGGAGCAAACAGGAUUAGAUACCCCGGUAGUCC
RNAcentral lists this ribosomal RNA (275 nucleotides) under uncultured bacterium. RNAcentral's name for it is "partial 16S ribosomal RNA". It matches the Rfam family "Bacterial small subunit ribosomal RNA", at positions 523 to 796 of the family's 1533-position model. The record is from RNAcentral.